GAAAGCCUGACGGAGCAAUACCGCGUGAGGGACGAAGGCCUGUGGGUUGUAAACCUCUUUUGUUAGGGAAGAUAAUGACGGUACCUAACGAAUAAGCAUCGGCUAACUCCGUGCCAGCAGCCGCGGUAAGACGGAGGAUGCAAGCGUUAUCCGGAAUUAUUGGGCGUAAAGCGUACGUAGGCUGCUAAUUAAGUCUGUUGUCAAAGCGCGAGGCUCAACCUUGUAAAGGCAAUGGAAACUGAAUAGCUAGAGAGAGAUAGGGGCAGGAGGAAUUCCAGGUGUAGCGGUGAAAUGCGUAGAUAUCUGGAAGAACACCAGUGGCGAAAGCGUCCUGCUGGAUCUCAACUGACGCUGAAGUACGAAAGCUAG
Molecule: ribosomal RNA, 369 nt
Filed under: uncultured cyanobacterium
Lineage: Bacteria; Bacillati; Cyanobacteriota
Description: bacterial SSU rRNA
Rfam family: Bacterial small subunit ribosomal RNA
Source: RNAcentral